This is a non-coding RNA of Erinaceus europaeus (western European hedgehog), 108 nucleotides long. NCBI's taxonomy places the organism in Eukaryota, Metazoa, Chordata, Mammalia, Eulipotyphla, Erinaceidae. The record is from Rfam.
GUGUUCAUUUCGAUAGCACAAAGACUAAAAUUGGAAUGAUAUAGAGAAGAUUAGCAUGGCCCCUGCACAGGGAUGACACACAAGUUCCUAGAGCAUGCCAGAAAAGAC